Molecule: non-coding RNA, 298 nt
Organism: Phoenix dactylifera (date palm)
Lineage: Eukaryota; Viridiplantae; Streptophyta; Magnoliopsida; Arecales; Arecaceae
Source: RefSeq, a predicted model, not a curated record
AAUGCUUCCUUCGUAUAAGGUUGAGCUUCUUAGAGUUGUUGAGACAAAGUUUGUCCUUCCUGCAAAUAGCCAUGAUUGGGUGCUGAAGUCCGUCAACCGCAAAUAGAAAGAAUAUAAAGCGAAGCUAAAGGCGGAUUGGAAGCACGAGGGCAUGACUGAAGAGGAGGUGGCCCAUGUUUGCCCUCCAGAUGUAAUCUCUCAUCAGUGGAGGGAGCUUGUCCACUACUGGUUUUCCGAGAGAGCUCAGACAUAUUCCAAUAUUGGUAGAGCUGCUCGAGCAUCACAGACUGUUCCUCAC